This 759-nucleotide ribosomal RNA is filed under the name Lysinibacillus xylanilyticus. Its description in RNAcentral is "bacterial SSU rRNA". It matches the Rfam family "Bacterial small subunit ribosomal RNA", at positions 17 to 757 of the family's 1533-position model. The record is from RNAcentral. Lineage: Bacteria; Bacillati; Bacillota; Bacilli; Caryophanales; Bacillaceae.
UCAUGGCUCAGGACGAACGCUGGCGGCGUGCCUAAUACAUGCAAGUCGAGCGAACAGAGAAGGAGCUUGCUCCUUUGACGUUAGCGGCGGACGGGUGAGUAACACGUGGGCAACCUACCUUAUAGUUUGGGAUAACUCCGGGAAACCGGGGCUAAUACCGAAUAAUCUAUUUUACUUCAUGGUGAAAUACUGAAAGACGGUUUCGGCUGUCGCUAUAAGAUGGGCCCGCGGCGCAUUAGCUAGUUGGUGAGGUAACGGCUCACCAAGGCGACGAUGCGUAGCCGACCUGAGAGGGUGAUCGGCCACACUGGGACUGAGACACGGCCCAGACUCCUACGGGAGGCAGCAGUAGGGAAUCUUCCACAAUGGGCGAAAGCCUGAUGGAGCAACGCCGCGUGAGUGAAGAAGGUUUUCGGAUCGUAAAACUCUGUUGUAAGGGAAGAACAAGUACAGUAGUAACUGGCUGUACCUUGACGGUACCUUAUUAGAAAGCCACGGCUAACUACGUGCCAGCAGCCGCGGUAAUACGUAGGUGGCAAGCGUUGUCCGGAAUUAUUGGGCGUAAAGCGCGCGCAGGCGGUCCUUUAAGUCUGAUGUGAAAGCCCACGGCUCAACCGUGGAGGGUCAUUGGAAACUGGGGGACUUGAGUGCAGAAGAGGAAAGUGGAAUUCCAAGUGUAGCGGUGAAAUGCGUAGAGAUUUGGAGGAACACCAGUGGCGAAGGCGACUUUCUGGUCUGUAACUGACGCUGAGGCGCGAA